UUUUAGUCUGUUCGACUAUUAAAAUUUUACAUGAUCUGAGUUUAAACCGGUGUAAGCCAGGUUGGUUUCUAUCUUUAUUUAUUUAUAAUAUUUUAGUACGAAAGGACCAAAUAUUAAAUAUAAAGUAUUUUGAUUUAUUGAAUGAAAUU
RNAcentral lists this ribosomal RNA (149 nucleotides) under Clypeodytes migrator. RNAcentral's name for it is "partial 16S ribosomal RNA". The record is from RNAcentral. Lineage: Eukaryota; Metazoa; Arthropoda; Insecta; Coleoptera; Dytiscidae.